This 612-nucleotide ribosomal RNA is filed under the name Lactococcus sp. RNAcentral describes it as "bacterial SSU rRNA". It matches the Rfam family "Bacterial small subunit ribosomal RNA", at positions 12 to 604 of the family's 1533-position model. The record is from RNAcentral. Lineage: Bacteria; Bacillati; Bacillota; Bacilli; Lactobacillales; Streptococcaceae.
UUUGAUCCUGGCUCAGGACGAACGCUGGCGGCGUGCCUAAUACAUGCAAGUCGAGCGAUGAUUAAAGAUAGCUUGCUAUUUUUAUGAAGAGCGGCGAACGGGUGAGUAACGCGUGGGAAAUCUGCCGAGUAGCGGGGGACAACGUUUGGAAACGAACGCUAAUACCGCAUAACAAUGAGAAUCGCAUGAUUCUUAUUUGAAAGAAGCAAUUGCUUCACUACUUGAUGAUCCCGCGUUGUAUUAGCUAGUUGGUAGUGUAAAGGACUACCAAGGCGAUGAUACAUAGCCGACCUGAGAGGGUGAUCGGCCACACUGGGACUGAGACACGGCCCAGACUCCUACGGGAGGCAGCAGUAGGGAAUCUUCGGCAAUGGGGGCAACCCUGACCGAGCAACGCCGCGUGAGUGAAGAAGGUUUUCGGAUCGUAAAACUCUGUUGUUAGAGAAGAACGUUAAGUAGAGUGGAAAAUUACUUAAGUGACGGUAUCUAACCAGAAAGGGACGGCUAACUACGUGCCAGCAGCCGCGGUAAUACGUAGGUCCCAAGCGUUGUCCGGAUUUAUUGGGCGUAAAGCGAGCGCAGGUGGUUUCUUAAGUCUGAUGUAAAAGGCAG